GUGUCAGCCGCCGCGGUAAGACGUAGGCUGCAAGCGUUGUCCGGAUUUAUUGGGCGUAAAGAGUUCGUAGGCGGUUUGUUAAGUCUGAUGUUAAAGAUCGGGGCCCAACCCCGGGACUGCAUUGGAUACUGGCAGACUAGAGUGUGGUAGAGGUAAGUGGAAUUUCUGGUGUAGCGGUGAAAUGCGUAGAUAUCGGGAGGAACACCUGUGGCGAAAGCGGCGCACUGGACAACAACUGACGCUGAGGCGCGAAAGCUAGGGGAGCAAACAGGAUUAGAUACCCUCGUAGUCC
Molecule: ribosomal RNA, 292 nt
Filed under: uncultured bacterium
Lineage: Bacteria
Description: partial 16S ribosomal RNA
Rfam family: Bacterial small subunit ribosomal RNA
Source: RNAcentral